CAGGCAGUAGCUCAGUGGUGAGCUCACGCUUCAUAUGCAGGAAGACCUGGGUUCGAUUCCCGGCUGCUUAC
Molecule: transfer RNA, 71 nt
Filed under: Toxocara canis (dog roundworm)
Lineage: Eukaryota; Metazoa; Nematoda; Chromadorea; Rhabditida; Toxocaridae
Rfam family: tRNA
About the family: Transfer RNA (tRNA) molecules are approximately 80 nucleotides in length. Their secondary structure includes four short double-helical elements and three loops (D, anti-codon, and T loops). Further hydrogen bonds mediate the characteristic L-shaped molecular structure. tRNAs have two regions of fundamental functional importance: the anti-codon, which is responsible for specific mRNA codon recognition, and the 3' end, to which the tRNAs corresponding amino acid is attached (by aminoacyl-tRNA synthetases). tRNAs cope with the degeneracy of the genetic code in two manners: having more than one tRNA (with a specific anti-codon) for a particular amino acid; and 'wobble' base-pairing, i.e. permitting non-standard base-pairing at the 3rd anti-codon position.
Source: Rfam by way of RNAcentral